UCCCAGACUCCUACGGGAGGCAGCAGUGAGGAAUAUUGGUCAAUGGGCGGGAGCCUGAACCAGCCAAGUCGCGUGAGGGAUGACGGCCCUAUGGGUUGUAAACCUCUUUUGCCGGGGAGCAAAGUGCCGCACGUGUGCGGUUUGGAGAGUACCCGGAGAAAAAGCAUCGGCUAACUCCGUGCCAGCAGCCGCGGUAAUACGGAGGAUGCGAGCGUUAUCCGGAUUUAUUGGGUUUAAAGGGUGCGUAGGCGGCAUUAUAAGUUAGUGGUAAAAUAUUGGGGCUUCACCUCACUACGCCAUUAAUACUGUAGAGCUAGAGAACAGACGAGGUAGGCGGAAUAAGUUAAGUAGCGGUGAAAUGCAUAGAUAUAACUUAGAACACCGAUAGCGAAGGCAGCUUACCAGACUGAGUCUGACGCUGAUGCACGGGAGCAUGGGUAGCGAACAGGAUUAGAUACCCUGGUAA
This 466-nucleotide ribosomal RNA is filed under the name uncultured bacterium. Its description in RNAcentral is "bacterial SSU rRNA". It matches the Rfam family "Bacterial small subunit ribosomal RNA", at positions 329 to 793 of the family's 1533-position model. The record is from RNAcentral.